UCCAAACCAGUGAGGUUUUCCUCCUCUCCCACUCAACUCAGCCGCCGCCUCCCCCAAUCCCAUCCCCAACAGCGGCGAUCUUGUCUCCCCCAGCCCCGGCAUCUGCCCUCUACCAAUCGCCGGCGCCCCUACACCCUCCUUCUCAACUCGAGCCGCUCAGGCCGCGGCAACCACGCACCGGCACAGAAGGAUCCCUCCUCCCACGGCCACCGUGCCCUCGUCCUCCACCCCCAAGCCUCUCCGCGUCCAACCUCACCACGCCGCCGCCUCCCUCCCUCCCUCCCUCCACCGCACCGAAGCCCCAGUCUUCCAUCCAUGGAUGGGGCGACAGAGAGGCGGAAGCACCUCUCCCGGCGACGAUGGCGCCGGAUCCGCACCCACCUACGGCGGCUGCUGCACGAGCAGCACGAUGGAUGCCGGCAGUGACCUCAAGCUGCCCGCAUGGGGUGGAUCCCGUCCACCCCCUUCUUUCGCCUGGGCGUGGCACAUGGGGGAGCUCGCGGCCAUCGACGACGGCGAGCUAGGAGGCUCCCGCAGCACCUUCGACCACAAUCCCGACGUGCUGCAGGACCUAGACAGCCAAGGAUUAUCUCGUGAACAAAUGCUCCUUUUAUUUCUGAAGGAGAGAAAGUGUGGACAUCCUGCGUAGACGUACUCUUAAGCGAAGCUAUGCAUGUGAAUGUGCCUCUGUGGCCAGCCACCGGGACGACGUCGACAGCCAAAGGAAGGGUUCUUGAGGUGCUCCUUCUCCACCGGCAGAGAGGUACCCCCUUCUUGGGUGGUACUCGUGUGCCUGCUCUGACCCUACCAUGGAAGGAUUCGUUUGGUACAACACCAUGACCGAUGCAGACAACAAGGCCUUCAACGAGCCAGGUACCUUGGUGCUACUGCUUCCGUGCGAUGGCAGCAGGGGUUGUUGUUCAGCAUCGGCUGCAAAAACAGCCAUGGCCUCACUUGGUCUGGUUCAGGGGAGGGUGAUGCCCAUGGUGUGGCCGCAUUGCAAGAUGGGCCGCAUCAACAAGAGGGUGCCCUAAGGAAGAGUCAUAUGGUCAUUUUGGUGACUGAGGAUGCUGGACAAGAUCUCAUCACCCAAAGCAUGAAUUUGUGGACCUUGGCAUAUAUUCCUUGG
Molecule: RNA transcript, 1129 nt
Organism: Triticum dicoccoides
Lineage: Eukaryota; Viridiplantae; Streptophyta; Magnoliopsida; Poales; Poaceae
Exons: 5
Source: RefSeq, a predicted model, not a curated record